CUCAGCCACCCCUAUAAAGGUUGCUCUGCCAGGCUGUCAGGGGGGCUGCUGCAGGAGAGCUGUGGAGCCGAAUCCAAGGAGAGUGGGACAGAGAGCGGUGCGGAGAGCGGUGCGAAGAGCGGUGCAAUCGGCGGAGAGAGGUGAAGUUGGCGGAGAGCAGUGAAGUCCACGGAGAGCGGUGAAGUCAACGAUGAAUAGAAGAGCUGUAACAGCUCUUGUAAGAGCUAUAACCACGUUUGGCGGUCCAGCCUCCGGUGGCCCUGAGCCGCCACCCUGCCUCCAGCAGUCCCGCCUCCCGCAUCCCGGAGCCGCCGCCUACAGUCUCCAGCCGCCUGCAGCUUCCAGCGGUCCGCCUCCAGCGGCCCCGAGCCACCGCCUGCAGCCUCGAGCUGCCUGAGGCCCCGCCUACGGCGGCCCCCAGCCGCUGCUUGCAGCCCCCAGCAUCCGGGGCCCCGAGCCGCCGCCUGCAGCCUCCAGCAUCCGGCAGCCCUGAGCCCCCGCCUGCAGCAUCCAGCCUCCGUCGAUCCGAGCCACCGCCUGCAGCCUCUAGCCGCCUAAGGCCCCGCCUCCAGCGGUCCAGCCUCCGGCGGCUCCGAGCCGCCACCUCCAGCAUCCGGUGGCCCCGAGCCGCCGCCCGAGCAUCCAGCCUCCGUGGGCCCCAAGCCGCCGCCUGCAGUCUCCAGCCGCCUGCAGCUUCUAGCUUCCGGUGGUCCUGCCUCCCGCGGCCCCAAGCCGCCGCCCGCAGCUUCCAGCCUCCGGCGGCCCCAAUCCGCCGCCUGCAGCCUGUAGCCUCCAGCGGCCCUGCCUUCAGCAGCCCGGCGAGCUGCCGAGACCCCAGCGGUCCAGCGGUCCUGAUGCCUACAGACCCUGGAGGCCAGCAGUCGGCGGUCCUGACACCUGCAGCCCCUAGAUGCCAGUGGUCUCGAGGCACAAGCAGCCCUGAGAUGCCAACGGCCCCUAGACACCAGCAGCCUCACCGCAAAAUGCCUCGCCACCCCGAACCACAAGUGGCCUUGUCCGCAGUGGUGGCUUCCUCCGGGUGGAAGCCUGGUCAGAGUAGCAUCGUGGGGAGCAGAGUCUGUGUCAUCCGGGUUGUCCUCCUUGUCAUUGUUGCUGUCAUUGUUGCUUCUUCGUCAUUGGGAGUGGCCUCAUCCAGGAAGUGGCCUUGUCCAGAACAGCCUCUUCUUGGGAGCGGCCUUGUCCGGGGAGCAACUUCAUUGAGCAGUUGCCUUGUCUUGGGAGUGGCCUCUUCUUGGGAACAGCUCCAAUUAUGGAGCGGCCUCAUCUGCAGAGCAGCAGCGUCAUCUAGAGCGGCCUCGUCCAGAGUGGCCUUCUUGGAAGUGACCUUGUUGGGAUCAUUGUCACCGCCUUUUUGUAAGAGGUAGUUCUGACCAGUCAUUUGAUUCCUGAUGCUUG
This 1416-nucleotide long non-coding RNA is filed under the name Neogale vison (American mink). RNAcentral describes it as "Neovison vison (American mink) lncRNA (ENSNVIG00000007911.1)". Lineage: Eukaryota; Metazoa; Chordata; Mammalia; Carnivora; Mustelidae. The record is from RNAcentral.